AGGUGAACAAGCUGGAAAGCUUGGCGAUACAGGGUGAUAGCCCCGUAACUGACGACGCAUAUUCAGUGAAAUCGAGUAGGGCGGGACACGUGAUAUCCUGUCUGAAUAUGGGGGGACCAUCCUCCAAGGCUAAAUACUACUGACUGACCGAUAGUGAACCAGUACCGUGAGGGAAAGGCGAAAAGAACCCCUGUGAGGGGAGUGAAAUAGAACCUGAAACCGUGUACGUACAAGCAGUAGGAGCAGGCUUUGUCCUGUGACUGCGUACCUUUUGUAUAAUGGGUCAGCGACUUAUAUUCAGUGGCAAGGUUAACCAUCUAGGGGAGCCGUAGGGAAACCGAGUCUUAACUGGGCGUUCAGUCUCUGGAUAUAGACCCGAAACCAGGUGAUCUAGCCAUGGGCAGGUUGAAGGUUGAGUAACAUCAACUGGAGGACCGAACCGACUAAUGUUGAAAAAUUAGCGGAUGACUUGUGGCUAGGGGUGAAAGGCCAAUCAAACCUGGAGAUAGCUGGUUCUCCCCGAAAGCUAUUUAGGUAGCGCCUCGGACGAAUACUACUGGGGGUAGAGCACUGUUAAGGCUAGGGGGUCAUCCCGACUUACCAACCCUUUGCAAACUCCGAAUACCAGUAAGUACUAUCCGGGAGACACACGGCGGGUGCUAACGUCCGUCGUGGAGAGGGAAACAACCCAGACCGCCAGCUAAGGUCCCAAAUUACUACUAAGUGGGAAACGAUGUGGGAAGGCUCAGACAGCCAGGAUGUUGGCUUAGAAGCAGCCAUCAUUUAAAGAAAGCGUAAUAGCUCACUGGUCGAGUCGGCCUGCGCGGAAGAUGUAACGGGGCUAAGUAGUAAACCGAAGCUGCGGCAAUACUCUUUGAGUAUUGGGUAGGGGAGCGUUCUGUAAGCGGUUGAAGGUGUGUGGUAACGCAUGCUGGACGUAUCAGAAGUGCGAAUGCUGACAUGAGUAACGAUAAAGGGGGUGAAAAACCUCCUCGCCGGAAGACCAAGGGUUCCUGUCCAACGUUAAUCGGGGCAGGGUAAGUCGACCCCUAAGGCGAGGCCGAAAGGCGUAGUCGAUGGGAAACGGGUUAAUAUUCCCGUACUUCUUACAAUUGCGAUGGGGGGACGGAGAAGGCUAGGUGGGCCUGGCGACGGUUGUCCAGGUUCAAGUGCGUAGGCUGAAGAGUUAGGUAAAUCCGGCUCUUCU
RNAcentral lists this ribosomal RNA (1207 nucleotides) under Vibrio sp. 11-4(1). RNAcentral describes it as "partial 23S ribosomal RNA". It matches the Rfam family "Bacterial large subunit ribosomal RNA", at positions 331 to 1552 of the family's 2925-position model. Lineage: Bacteria; Pseudomonadati; Pseudomonadota; Gammaproteobacteria; Vibrionales; Vibrionaceae. The record is from RNAcentral.